This 1253-nucleotide ribosomal RNA is filed under the name Arthropoda environmental sample. RNAcentral describes it as "SSU rRNA". It matches the Rfam family "Eukaryotic small subunit ribosomal RNA", at positions 15 to 1209 of the family's 1831-position model. The record is from RNAcentral. Lineage: Eukaryota; Metazoa; Arthropoda.
UGCCAGUAGUCAUAUGCUUGUCUUAAAGAUUAAGCCAUGCAUGUCUCAGUGCAAGCUAAAUUAAAGUGAAACCGCGGAAGGCUCAUUAUAUCAGCUAUGGUUCCUUAGAUGGUACCAAAGUAUACUUGGAUAACUGUGGCAAUUCUAGAGCUAAUACAUGCAAAUAGAGUCCCUGCCUCCCAAGGCAGGGAUGCUUUUAUUAGACCAAAACCAACCGGCCUUCGGGCUAGUUGCUCUUGGUGACUCUGAUUAACUUUGGGCUGAUCGCACGGUCACGUACCGGCGACGCAUCUUUCAAAUGUCUGCCUUAUCAACUAUCGAUGGUAGGCUCUACGCCUACCAUGGUUGUAACGGGUGACGGGGAAUCAGGGUUCGAUUCCGGAGAGGGAGCCUGAGAGACAGCUACCACAUCCAAGGAAGGCAGCAGGCGCGCAAAUUACCCACUCCCGGCACGGGGAGGUAGUGACGAUAAAUAACGAUGCAGAACUCUUUCCGAGGCUCUGCAAUCGGAAUGAGCACACUCUAAAUCAUUUAACGAGUAUCCAUCGGAGGGCAAGCCUGGUGCCAGCAGCUGCGGUAAUUCCAGCUCCGAUAGCGUAUAUUAAAGUUGUUGCGGUUAAAAAGCUCGUAGUUGGAUCUGUGUUUCACUCUGUCGGUUCGUUGCCCGUCAACGUUUAACUGGCAUGCAAGUGGAACGUCCUGCCGGUUGGCAACGCGCGUCCGCAAGGGCGUGCGUGCGCCAGUUGGAUCCUGUCUAGGUCCUCUUCACCGAGAGUCGAGGCGGGCCGGCACGUUUACUUUGAACAAAUUUGAGUGCUUAAAGCAGGCUGUUACGCCUGAAAACUGGUUGCAUGGAAUAAUGGAAUAGGACCUCGGUUCUACUUUGUUGGUUUUCGGAGCCCGAGGUAAUGAUUAAUAGGGACAGGCGGGGGCAUUAGUAUUGCGACGUUAGAGGUGAAAUUCUAAGAUCGUCGCAGGACUAACCUAAGCGAAAGCAUUUGCCAAGGAUGCUUCCUUUAAUCAAGAACGAAAGUUAGAUGAUCGAAGGCGAUCAGAUACCGCCCUAGUUCUAACCAUAAACGAUGCCAGCCAGCAAUCCGUCGCUGUUCCUCCGAUGACUCGACGGGCAGCUUCCGGGAAACUUAAGCUUUUAGGUUCCGGGGGAAGUAUGGUUGCAAAGCUGAAACUUAAAGGAAUUGACGGAAGGGCACCACCAGGAGUGGAGCCUGCGGCUUAAUUCGACUCAACACGGG